UCUGGAAAGGCGCGCGAUACAGGGUGACAGCCCCGUACACAAAAAUGCACAUGCUGUGAGCUCGAUGAGUAGGGCGGGACACGUGGUAUCCUGUCUGAAUAUGGGGGGACCAUCCUCCAAGGCUAAAUACUCCUGACUGACCGAUAGUGAACCAGUACCGUGAGGGAAAGGCGAAAAGAACCCCGGCGAGGGGAGUGAAAAAGAACCUGAAACCGUGUACGUACAAGCAGUGGGAGCACGCUUAGGCGUGUGACUGCGUACCUUUUGUAUAAUGGGUCAGCGACUUAUAUUCUGUAGCAAGGUUAACCGAAUAGGGGAGCCGAAGGGAAACCGAGUCUUAACUGGGCGUUAAGUUGCAGGGUAUAGACCCGAAACCCGGUGAUCUAGCCAUGGGCAGGUUGAAGGUUGGGUAACACUAACUGGAGGACCGAACCGACUAAUGUUGAAAAAUUAGCGGAUGACUUGUGGCUGGGGGUGAAAGGCCAAUCAAACCGGGAGAUAGCUGGUUCUCCCCGAAAGCU
This 521-nucleotide ribosomal RNA is filed under the name Escherichia coli. RNAcentral describes it as "partial 23S ribosomal RNA". It matches the Rfam family "Bacterial large subunit ribosomal RNA", at positions 341 to 867 of the family's 2925-position model. The record is from RNAcentral. Lineage: Bacteria; Pseudomonadati; Pseudomonadota; Gammaproteobacteria; Enterobacterales; Enterobacteriaceae.